RNAcentral lists this long non-coding RNA (3621 nucleotides) under Apis mellifera (honey bee). RNAcentral describes it as "uncharacterized LOC102653974". The record is from RNAcentral. Lineage: Eukaryota; Metazoa; Arthropoda; Insecta; Hymenoptera; Apidae.
UCGUUGCCGCCGCCGCUUCCGCAUGGUUUCCCAUCUUUGACCAGCACCGGCACGGCCACCCGUCGCGGCGAACUGGCGCUCUGCAACAGAGAAUAACAUCGUCCCUCGCGUUAGAACAGAAAGCGAUAAAGCUAACGUGAGGAAAGAAACGAAGGAGGGGGAUUAAAUUUCGCCUCAACAUCCAGAAGAGAGAAACGACAGGCUGGCCUAUCCGAUCCACCGGUGUGUACACUCGAUCCACACGUAGGUGCACAGGCUGUGCACGACGAAGCAUGGAGAAGACGACGGAGUCGUGGCUCGGCUUCUGUGUUCCAAGCAAACACGUGGGCUCGGUAGGCACAGGUACUUAACCCGUGCGAUACCUCGUGAUCAGCAUUCGAGCGUACUCGUACUCUGGAGGAGACUCUCUCUCUCUCAUUACGAAUAAACAGUACCAGCUACCGUGGACCACAGCCGGGUUCCAGCCGGGGCUCUGUCGAGCCGCGUCAACAUCGAGAACUGCUGUCCCUCGUCUCCCUGCGUUUCUAUCCGGGGGGAUUGAAUACGACGACGAGCGGGACCCCACGGCAUGCCAAACAGAAGCCGAAGCAAGCUGGCCGAGUACCUGCCGGGACGACCACUCAGCUGUAUCAACAUUCGGUACACGACAUUCCUCUUCGAUCUCCACGUCAGCGACGCUUUAAUAAUAUGAUCGCGGCCGCUCGGAAAUAACGCCUAUUUCGACCGACGGACGCACGUACAUAUGGCCUGGAUAGUUUUCUUUCUUUUCCUUUUUUUAAAUCGGAUGGAAAAUUGCGAAAAUGGAAAACGCCUCUUUCGGAUCAUCUAAAAAAUGCCUCGUCGAUUGCACAGCUUAGUGUUAGAUGUAUCUUGAGAGACCGUAUAUACAUACAGACUGUAUUUCAAGUGGAAGGUAAACAUCGAGUAGAAAUUAUUUUUAAAAAAAGAAAAAAAAAAGAUUGCUUAAUAUACGAUGUGGAAGAUACGAUGAACGCGUCCGAAGUUAGUGAAGAAUAAAUGAAUAAAAUUCUAAUAAAAUUUAUAUUUCGAACGGGAGCUUCUAUAUGUUUACUCACGUACGUGGACUACACGCUUUCCCCAUUAUAGUUUCGUGGAUUUGAACGGAUUCGUGGAGGAAAAUUUAUCUGAAGAAAUACAUAACCUAACCGCGACUGUAUAAUGAUAAUGAUUGGGCGUCCGGCGAGGUUUACGUAUGAAAGGAAACAAUGGGGGUGGUGUAUGUAACAACGAUUCGAUUCGAGUGGCCAACAUGAACUUACGUGCACGUUACUGGCCGCGAACAUAAGUGCAGGCAUGCCGUGCACUUCACGCUGACAAAGUGACGAUUACGCUAAACGCAUGACGGUCGGCGCGCGCGUCACGCGUCACGCCACUUUAGCCACUUCAACACGCGUUAAGCGAUUUCCGGCGAAAAUGGCCGUGCUUAGGAACGGAGUAGUACGUGUUUAUGAGCGGCGACCACUGCGCCAUGCAUAAUGAGCCUCAAUGUUGCCGUGAUCGCGCGGCCGCGAUUGAAUUCUCGGGAAGCAUAUUAUGCGUCGAUUUCCCUUUCCCCCUUCGAGGAACAUCGUCCCCUUUUUAGCAGAGUAUACAUAUUUCCUUCUACGGAAGCGAUCGUUGUCACCGGUUGCUUUUUAGGUUAAGGACUCGACCGAGAUUCUAUUUUAUAUUUCUAUCUUUAAACGAGCGAAACAGCGUUCAAUUUUAUUAUCCCUUUCAUAUUAUUUUUCACGUUAAUAUUAUAAUCAUUAUUUGGCGAUUUAAUCAGCGUUGUAAAAACUGAUUGAGACUAAUAUUUUUUUCCCAUAUAGAAGCGAGAGUGAAGAAGAAUCGAAGAAAGGACACAACAACGGCUAGCAAAGAAUAUUCUGUAGACGAUCGCUUUUUUUUUUUAAAAAAGAUACCCUUUACGGAAUAUUUAAUUCCUUUAAUAUAUCGCGAGGAGACGAGAAACGAGGGCAGGGAUAUUUGCAAAAUAAAUUGUACUUGAAACAUCUACGUGGUCGCAGCCGAUGUUCAUUCCAUGUAUACAGCCGCAUCGAAUAUCUAAAUGUGCCGCUUGCGCGCGCCAGUGACUUCCACGUGAAUGCAUCUCUCGUGGAAAAACACUCGUCAUCGUCGGAACUGAUAUAAUUAACUAAAAGCUGGGCUCUACCAGUGCCACAGCUUUUCCCCUUUUUCGCUCCUCCUCCUAUCCCACCUACACCACUACCAAGUCCAGCCCGGCGGUCGUCUAUGUCUCGUUUCUUUACAGAAACCUCGGUCGAACAAAGAACCACAAGAAGAGAUAUUAAAAGAUUUCUGCCGGGACCUCUCGUUUCCACGACGAAUGGAAUUCAAUGGGUUUUGUAAACGAGGAAGUGGUUUUUAAAUCUAAUAACCGAUGUUUUACCACGAGUGUAAUUACAUUAGGCGGUCUCUCGAUACUCGCCAAACAACUUUCGCGCCUUCUUUCUGCCAGAAAAAUGCUAAAACCAGGCCACGAAGUUUUCAUUGCAGUCUUAUUUUUUCAAGAUUCGUAGAAUAAUAAUAUAGAAGAAUGAGUUAAAUUUUUGUUUUAUUCCUUAAACUUGUUACUGAGAAUUAAGGUUAAUAAUAAUUUAUUAUUUUCAAACAAAUCUUAUUGUAACUUGAUAUUUAGCUGCAAAAAUUUUAAUUUUGACUUUUCCUUACCGCUCAUUUAAAUGGAACAAUACUCUAUCAUAAUACGAAUUCGCUAUCAUAUACGAUUGCAAACGAUUUCCUAUUUCUACAUUCUGGACAUAAAGAUGUCGUAAGCAUUCGACUUAAAAUCUCGAUUGCAACUCGAAGUUACAAUCCGCGGGUCGAAAGAUCGACGGCUCGCGUCUCGAGGGGAGGGUUAAUCGAUAUCAAUAGUAGUAGUAUUGGUAACCCCGAUUCGCGUCCAGGUGUUGUGCAUGACUGUACUCAUGGCAAGAUGGCGACCGGUCCUCGAGCACCCGUUUCCGCGCUCCCCUGCAGGAUACCUCUCUUCCCCUCUCUUGUCGUUCUCUCUUUCUUCUUCUCACCCGCUCUCCCUGCCCGUCUUUUUCUUUCUCUUUCUUUUUCUCAUGCUCGCUCGCUCGCGCUGCCACUUGAAAUUUUUUUACCGCCGCGAGGGGAGGAAAUGGAAUAAAACGAAAGAAAGGGAAAAAAGAGGGAAAAAAAAUUGGAGCUCUGCCUACCAACUCGUCGUCGUCGUCGACGACGUAGCUACCUUCACGUCGCAUACCGUUUUAAAUAUAAAAACGAUUAAUUCUAUUAGUUAUUAAUGUUAUUAGUUAUAAUUUUCGUCACAUUUUAAUAAAUAUUUAUUAAUUAUUCCGAAUAUAAUUUAAGAAUUCCAGAUUCGUACGUUUUUAAUACCAACUUUUCACAAUGUCAGAUAAAUUUUACUAUAUCUUGUAAAUAAUUAUUGGGGAAUAAUUUAUAGGGAAGAUUGUGUUCCGAAAGUAACAAAAAUAAAAAGUUACCGAAAUUUUUUUUAUGCGAAAGACCCGAUUUCCAUAUUAAGAAAGCUAUCUAAAUAAAUAUAUACUUAUUGUACAAAAUUAAAAAUUAUUAUAUUAAAAAUAUUAAAAAUAUACUUAUUGUACAAAA